AAGUCGUAACAAGGUUUCUGUAGGUGAACCUGCAGAAGGAUCAUCAUCGAAAUUAUAUUAUACACCCCUUGUGAACUAUUAGUGUAGAGUCUGCUUGGCAGGAAGUCACUCUCGAGUGCGUCGGCCUUGCUUGCAGGGCGCAGUGCCUGCCAGCAGCCUCGUCUUUUAACAAACUUUUAAACUUUUACUGAUACAAAUAUAUUAAUAAAAACAACUUUCAACAAUGGAUCUCUUGGCUCUC
Molecule: unclassified non-coding RNA, 241 nt
Filed under: fungal sp.
Lineage: Eukaryota; Fungi
Description: partial internal transcribed spacer region
Rfam family: Eukaryotic small subunit ribosomal RNA (bases 1-46)
Source: RNAcentral